UCAAGAUUUCACUUAGUGGUA
RNAcentral lists this non-coding RNA (21 nucleotides) under Caenorhabditis elegans. Lineage: Eukaryota; Metazoa; Nematoda; Chromadorea; Rhabditida; Rhabditidae. The record is from RNAcentral.